RNAcentral lists this ribosomal RNA (308 nucleotides) under uncultured eukaryote. RNAcentral describes it as "partial 18S ribosomal RNA". It matches the Rfam family "Eukaryotic small subunit ribosomal RNA", at positions 1470 to 1796 of the family's 1831-position model. The record is from RNAcentral.
CCCUUAGACGUUCUGGGCCGCACGCGCGCUACACUGACGAAGGCAACGAGCUUUCCUUUACCGAAAGGUACGGGUAAUCUUUUGAAACUUCGUCGUGCUGGGGAUAGAUCCUUGCAAUUAUUGAUCUUAAACGAGGAAUUCCUAGUAAGCGCAAGUCAUCAACUUGCGUUGAUUACGUCCUUGCCCUUUGUACACACCGCCCGUCGCUACUACCGAUUGAAUGGUUUAGUGAGGCCUUCGGAUCCGCGACUCGUUUUGUGGAGAAGUUGGACAAACUCAGUCAUUUAGAGGAAGUAAAAGUCGUAACA